UACGGAGGAUCCGAGCGUUAUCCGGAUUUAUUGGGUUUAAAGGGUGCACAGGCGGAAUAUUAAGUCGGCGGUGAAAGUUUGCAGCUUAACUGUAAAAUUGCCGUUGAUACUGGUAUUCUUGAGUGUAUAUGAAGUAGGCGGAAUUUGUAGUGUAGCGGUGAAAUGCAUAGAUAUUACAAGGAACUCCGAUUGCGAAGGCAGCUUACUAAAUUACAACUGACGCUUAGGCACGAAGGCGUGGGUAUCAAACAGGAAUAGAUACCCCGGUAGUCCCUGAG
RNAcentral lists this ribosomal RNA (278 nucleotides) under uncultured prokaryote. RNAcentral describes it as "partial 16S ribosomal RNA". It matches the Rfam family "Bacterial small subunit ribosomal RNA", at positions 524 to 801 of the family's 1533-position model. The record is from RNAcentral.